Molecule: small RNA, 129 nt
Filed under: Salmonella enterica
Lineage: Bacteria; Pseudomonadati; Pseudomonadota; Gammaproteobacteria; Enterobacterales; Enterobacteriaceae
Description: RtT sRNA
Rfam family: RtT RNA
About the family: This family represents a bacterial cis-regulatory element known as RtT RNA.
Source: RNAcentral
GUUUGCACUUGUCGGGGAAGGGUGAGAACCUUCGAUUAAGGUUCGACUCGAGCGAAAGCGAGAGAACGUUGCCAACGGCAACGGCCCGUAGGGUGAGGAGCGAAGCGACGAAUAAUCCUUCCCCCACCA